AUUCCAGGCGGCAGAUGGCGGAGGGGAAACACCCGGUCCCAUCCCGAACCCGGCAGUUAAGCCCUCCAGCGCCGAUGGUACUAGGCUGGUAACGGCCUGGGAGAGUAGGUCGCCGCCUGGAUCCUU
This 126-nucleotide ribosomal RNA is filed under the name Candidatus Bipolaricaulis sibiricus. The record is from RNAcentral. Lineage: Bacteria; Candidatus Bipolaricaulota; Bipolaricaulia (SeqCode); Bipolaricaulales (SeqCode); Candidatus Bipolaricaulaceae.